This 492-nucleotide ribosomal RNA is filed under the name uncultured bacterium. RNAcentral describes it as "partial 16S ribosomal RNA". It matches the Rfam family "Bacterial small subunit ribosomal RNA", at positions 29 to 507 of the family's 1533-position model. The record is from RNAcentral.
AGUGAACGCUGGCGGUAGGCCUAACACAUGCAAGUCGAACGGCAGCACAGUAAGAGCUUGCUCUUACGGGUGGCGAGUGGCGGACGGGUGAGGAAUACAUCGGAAUCUACUUUUUCUUGGGGGAUAACGUAGGGAAACUUACGCUAAUACCGCAUACGACCUACGGGUGAAAGCAGAGGAUCUUCGGCCCUUGCGCGAUUGAAUGAGCCGAUGUCGGAUUAGCUAGUUGGCGGGGUAGAGGCCCACCAAGGCGACGAUCCGUAGCUGGUCUGAGAGGAUGAUCAGGCACACGGGAACUGAGACACGGUCCAGACUCCUACGGGAGGCAGCAGCGGGGAAUAUUGGACAAUGGGCGAAAGCCUGAUCCAGCCAUACCGCGUGGGUGAAGAAGGCCUUCGGGUUGUAAAGCCCUUUUGUUGGGAAAGAAAAGCAGCAGGUUAAUACCCCGCUGUUCUGACGGUACCCAAAGAAUAAGCACCGGCUAACUUCGUG